ACGGGAGGCAGCAGUGGGGAAUAUUGCACAAUGGGGGAAACCCUGAUGCAGCGACGCCGCGUGAGUGAAGAAGUUAUUCGUAAUGUAAAGCUCUAUCAGCAGGGAAGAAAAUGACGGUACCUGACUAAGAAGCCCCGGCUAACUACGUGCCAGCAGCCGCGGUAAUACGUAGGGGGCAAGCGUUAUCCGGAUUUACUGGGUGUAAAGGGAGCGUAGACGGCUUAGCAAGUCUGAUGUGAAAGGCAGGGGCUCAACUCCUGGACUGCAUUUGGAACUGUCAAGCUAGAGUAUCGGAGAGGUAAGUGGAAUUCCUAGUGUAGCGGUGAGAUGCGUAGAUAUUAGGAGGAACACCAGUGGCGAAGGCGGCUUGCUGGACGAUAACUGACGUUGAGGCUCGAAAGCGUGGGGAGCAAACAGGAUUAGAUACCCUGGUA
This 434-nucleotide ribosomal RNA is filed under the name uncultured Lachnospiraceae bacterium. Its description in RNAcentral is "partial 16S ribosomal RNA". It matches the Rfam family "Bacterial small subunit ribosomal RNA", at positions 341 to 792 of the family's 1533-position model. Lineage: Bacteria; Bacillati; Bacillota; Clostridia; Lachnospirales; Lachnospiraceae. The record is from RNAcentral.